AGAGUUUGAUCCUGGCUCAGAACGAACGCUGGCGGCAUGCCUAACACAUGCAAGUCGAACGUGAUCCAUGACUUCGGUUGUGGUGAAAGUGGCAGACGGGUGAGUAACGCGUGGGAACCUGCCCCAAGGUAGGGAAUAACCGCGGGAAACUGCGGCUAAUACCCUAUGUGCCCUACGGGGCAAAGAUUUAUCGCCUUGGGAGGGGCCCGCGUCGGAUUAGGUAGUUGGUAGGGUAACGGCCUACCAAGCCUACGAUCCGUAGCUGGUCUGAGAGGAUGAUCAGCCACACUGGGACUGAGAUACGGCCCAGACUCCUACGGGAGGCAGCAGUGGGGAAUAUUGGACAAUGGGGGCAACCCUGAUCCAGCAAUGCCGCGUGAGUGAUGAAGGCCUUCGGGUUGUAAAGCUCUUUCGGCGGGGAAGAUGAUGACGGUACCCGCAGAAGAAGCCCCGGCUAACUUCGUGCCAGCAGCCGCGGUA
This 480-nucleotide ribosomal RNA is filed under the name uncultured Pseudomonadota bacterium. RNAcentral's name for it is "bacterial SSU rRNA". It matches the Rfam family "Bacterial small subunit ribosomal RNA", at positions 8 to 522 of the family's 1533-position model. Lineage: Bacteria; Pseudomonadati; Pseudomonadota. The record is from RNAcentral.